Molecule: ribosomal RNA, 231 nt
Filed under: uncultured bacterium
Lineage: Bacteria
Description: partial 16S ribosomal RNA
Rfam family: Bacterial small subunit ribosomal RNA
Source: RNAcentral
GAUCAUGGCUCAGGACGAACGCUGGCGGCGUGCUUAACACAUGCAAGUCGAACGAGAAUCUGUGGAAAGAGGAUUCGUCCAAUUGAAACAGAGGACAGUGGCGGACGGGUGAGUAACGCGUGAGGAACCUGCCUUUCAGAGGGGGACAACAGUUGGAAACGACUGCUAAUACCGCAUGACACAUUGAGGUCGCAUGGCCUUGAUGUCAAAGAUUUAUCGCUGAAAGAUGGU